RNAcentral lists this ribosomal RNA (315 nucleotides) under Triticum aestivum (bread wheat). RNAcentral describes it as "partial small subunit ribosomal RNA". Lineage: Eukaryota; Viridiplantae; Streptophyta; Magnoliopsida; Poales; Poaceae. The record is from RNAcentral.
AUGGCAGCGUCGCCAUUGAUUUUGUUGGGGGGCGAGGGGGCGGGGAGGGAGGGGGCGAGGGUGGGCAACACCGGCGAGGGGCGCGCGUGCUGCACGACGGCGACGAGCAUCGGCAGCGAGGCAAGCCGGAGGGGAACUUCGAGUCAGCGGGAGGGCGCGGGGCACGGCCUUGCCCGAUGCGAGCGGACGAUGUUUUUUUUUGUUCUGCGGCGAAGGAAAAAAUAUUACGGAUCCAAUCAAGUGGCCGUGGAUGCAUGUAUCGGGUGGCUAGGAGCGGACCGGCCGAAAGGAUUCGGCCGGCGCAUCGGCGCCUAG